This 1288-nucleotide ribosomal RNA is filed under the name Bacillus subtilis. RNAcentral describes it as "bacterial SSU rRNA". It matches the Rfam family "Bacterial small subunit ribosomal RNA", at positions 57 to 1329 of the family's 1533-position model. Lineage: Bacteria; Bacillati; Bacillota; Bacilli; Caryophanales; Bacillaceae. The record is from RNAcentral.
GCAGUCGAGCGGACAGAUGGGAGCUUGCUCCCUGAUGUUAGCGGCGGACGGGUGAGUAACACGUGGGUAACCUGCCUGUAAGACUGGGAUAACUCCGGGAAACCGGGGCUAAUACCGGAUGGUUGUUUGAACCGCAUGGUUCAAACAUAAAAGGUGGCUUCGGCUACCACUUACAGAUGGACCCGCGGCGCAUUAGCUAGUUGGUGAGGUAACGGCUCACCAAGGCGACGAUGCGUAGCCGACCUGAGAGGGUGAUCGGCCACACUGGGACUGAGACACGGCCCAGACUCCUACGGGAGGCAGCAGUAGGGAAUCUUCCGCAAUGGACGAAAGUCUGACGGAGCAACGCCGCGUGAGUGAUGAAGGUUUUCGGAUCGUAAAGCUCUGUUGUUAGGGAAGAACAAGUACCGUUCGAAUAGGGCGGUACCUUGACGGUACCUAACCAGAAAGCCACGGCUAACUACGUGCCAGCAGCCGCGGUAAUACGUAGGUGGCAAGCGUUGUCCGGAAUUAUUGGGCGUAAAGGGCUCGCAGGCGGUUUCUUAAGUCUGAUGUGAAAGCCCCCGGCUCAACCGGGGAGGGUCAUUGGAAACUGGGGAACUUGAGUGCAGAAGAGGAGAGUGGAAUUCCACGUGUAGCGGUGAAAUGCGUAGAGAUGUGGAGGAACACCAGUGGCGAAGGCGACUCUCUGGUCUGUAACUGACGCUGAGGAGCGAAAGCGUGGGGAGCGAACAGGAUUAGAUACCCUGGUAGUCCACGCCGUAAACGAUGAGUGCUAAGUGUUAGGGGGUUUCCGCCCCUUAGUGCUGCAGCUAACGCAUUAAGCACUCCGCCUGGGGAGUACGGUCGCAAGACUGAAACUCAAAGGAAUUGACGGGGGCCCGCACAAGCGGUGGAGCAUGUGGUUUAAUUCGAAGCAACGCGAAGAACCUUACCAGGUCUUGACAUCCUCUGACAAUCCUAGAGAUAGGACGUCCCCUUCGGGGGCAGAGUGACAGGUGGUGCAUGGUUGUCGUCAGCUCGUGUCGUGAGAUGUUGGGUUAAGUCCCGCAACGAGCGCAACCCUUGAUCUUAGUUGCCAGCAUUCAGUUGGGCACUCUAAGGUGACUGCCGGUGACAAACCGGAGGAAGGUGGGGAUGACGUCAAAUCAUCAUGCCCCUUAUGACCUGGGCUACACACGUGCUACAAUGGACAGAACAAAGGGCAGCGAAACCGCGAGGUUAAGCCAAUCCCACAAAUCUGUUCUCAGUUCGGAUCGCAGUCUGCAACUCGACUGCGUGAAGCUGG